Molecule: long non-coding RNA, 1423 nt
Organism: Priapulus caudatus
Lineage: Eukaryota; Metazoa; Priapulida; Priapulimorpha; Priapulimorphida; Priapulidae
Exons: 4
Source: RefSeq, a predicted model, not a curated record
CAGGACAGUCUGACAAACUAAACAAAAAUUAGUCAAAAGUGAAAUGGCCAAUUUGGACAAUUUGUUGUUGUUUUCGGAAUUAACGACUAAGAGACCGGCUUCAUGGUGUGGUUGAUGGAACGCUAGAGGUCAACCUGCGUGGCGCGGCUCUCAGGCGCGCCAUGCUGGACUGUGACCAUACGUGAUGUCGUAAAAACCAGGAAGAGAGAAUUUGAGAAGCUGGAGGCUGCUAAUCUCGUUGAUGCACUGUAGAUGGCGACACUGGUGUGCAACUGUGAUGAGAAGAGAGGAGAACUACAUAGGAAGACGCAUGCUGAACAUGCAACCAGCAGGUAGAAGAAGAAGGGGGAGACCAAGGACAAGAUGGAAGGACUGCGUGCAGAAUGACUUGAAAAAGAAGGGAUUGGUGACACGAAGGGGAGGAUAGGAAACAAUGGAGGAGAAGAGUCCACUGCAGCGACCCCUACAGAGGGACUAAUAGCGCGAAGGAAGAAGAAGUAGAUCUGGUUAUUCUGUCUGCUGCCAACCCUGGUUUGCAGUUAUAUUUUGUCUACUAGUAACCCUCUACCCAUGUACAUAUUACUACCCCAUAAAAUUGAUAAUCUACCCACAUUCCAUUCCAUGUAAUGUCCAGAUCACAUGUACCCUUCAAAAAUAGUAGAAGUAGGGUUAUUACUAUAAACAAGCUAGAUAGCUUUUUUCACACAGUUAUUACUAAGCUUCACUAGGUUGUGUUACUUUCAUGUAAACUGCUAUUACUACUGUCAUUCGCAAUAUAUACAGUUACUAUAUAUUGCAACGACAGUUUAUUUUGUCUUCAAAAAACCUGUUACGUUCUUAGAUCCAGGUAGUAUACUAUUGCGUGUCAUGCACCGUGAAGAAAGUUUCAACCAAGUUUAAUAUGAUUAUUUUUCCUUCAUCUAUCUUAUUAUUUAGAAUAUUGCCGGUGUGCGCCAUGGUUUUAAAAUGCGUUUUAAAACUGGUGCCUUGUAGGUUGACUUACUUACUUACGUUACUUAAUACACUGCACACGUGAUGAGGUUAAGCUGGUCACUUAUGACCAACCAUAGUGAGAAAACUACGCACCUAUUACCAGGAAUGAAUAAUGACAGACUGUCAUUAUUUUCCCGUGCUAUUGCUACACGUAUUCUGAAAGAUUAAGCUAAGCUUAAGGUGACACGUGACUUCAUUUCUGUCAUCCUGUGCACAAAAUUCUUUUGAGUUCAUGUUGUUAUUUUAAAAUAUAUAGAAAGUUAGAAUAUUUGACUGCCACAUGAAGUAGAUCUCUCAUAUGUCAAGCAAUGUAUCUUUCUUAGAUGCUACCAUAUCAGAAUGAAAUUACAGUGUCAGUGUCUGGUUUAAGAUGUGUUAUAUAUUUGCUAUGUGAUAUAUACUAGCUGAAAAAUAAAACAUUGUUACUAAA